This 490-nucleotide ribosomal RNA is filed under the name uncultured bacterium. Its description in RNAcentral is "partial 16S ribosomal RNA". It matches the Rfam family "Bacterial small subunit ribosomal RNA", at positions 30 to 507 of the family's 1533-position model. The record is from RNAcentral.
AUUGAACGCUGGCGGCAGGCCUAACACAUGCGAGUCGAACGGUAACACGGUGCGGGCUUCCUCUUUGCUGACGCGUGGCGGACGGGUGAGAGAAGUCUGGGAAAAUGUCCUUUUGAGGGGGGUAACUACUGGAAACGGUAACUAAAAUCGCAUAAAGUCGCAAGGGCAAAGAGGGGGGGCUCUUGGGCCCUUGCCCUCGGGAGUGCCCAGAUGGGAUUAGCUAGUAGGUGGGGUAAAGGCUCACCUAGGCGACGAUCCCUAGCUGGUCUGAGAGGAUGACCAGCCACACUGGAACUGAGACACGGUCCAGACUCCUACGGGAGGCAGCAGUGGGGAAUAUUGCACAAUGGGCGCAAGCCUGAUGCAGCCAUGCCGCGUGUAUGAAGAAGGCCUUCGGGUUGUAAAGUACUUUCAGCGGGGAGGAAGGGAGUAAAGUUAAUACCUUUGCUCAUUGACGUUACCCGAAGAAGAAGCACCGGCUAACUCCGUG